This 213-nucleotide long non-coding RNA is filed under the name Elaeis guineensis (African oil palm). RNAcentral describes it as "long non-coding RNA (EGUI_LNC027228)". The record is from RNAcentral. Lineage: Eukaryota; Viridiplantae; Streptophyta; Magnoliopsida; Arecales; Arecaceae.
CAUGCCAAAGUGGUUGUCGCCCCUUCCUUUCUCAACGCUUCAAGUUUGCAUGAAAGAAAAGUUCAAAUUUGAUUUAAACUUAACUUCCUUAUCAACAUGAGGUUUGACCUCAUCUAUCUAUAUUGGAUGCCAACCAUAAAAGGGCUUCUUUUUGUGCAUGGAAAAUAAGAUGAAAAUAUGAUUUACCAUGAGAAAAAAGAAAAAUUAAGCGGG